ACCGCGAGCUUCCUGGUGAGCGUGUCACCCAACACUCUCAAACUCAUACUCAGACCGAGGCCUGGUGGGGAGUUCCCCCUUGACUUCACCAAUGGCUGCUUUGCUCCGUGGACACACGAUAUCACCCAAGCUCACUGGCUCUCCUCAACGUUUCCGCUUCCUGUGCCCGGAAGUCAAACCCACGACGCCGGUAUCGUAGUGCUGUUUGUUCCACUGCAGCCUGGUGACAGCAUCAUCACCGUCAUUCAGGAGGACGGGCACAUUUUCCUGAGCGCUAACCACCAUACCGCUUACGCUCGUGGCAACUUACCAACCUUGACAGAGGAGCCGUUGUACAUAGGAGCAGGAGCUGACCCGUCUACCCACAGAAUCCUG
This is a long non-coding RNA of Aplysia californica (California sea hare), 375 nucleotides long. RefSeq lists it as uncharacterized. The transcript has 3 exons. The record is from RefSeq and is a predicted model, not a curated record. Lineage: Eukaryota; Metazoa; Mollusca; Gastropoda; Aplysiida; Aplysiidae.